Molecule: transfer RNA, 76 nt
Filed under: Syntrophobacteraceae bacterium
Lineage: Bacteria; Pseudomonadati; Thermodesulfobacteriota; Syntrophobacteria; Syntrophobacterales; Syntrophobacteraceae
Description: tRNA-Thr
Rfam family: tRNA
About the family: Transfer RNA (tRNA) molecules are approximately 80 nucleotides in length. Their secondary structure includes four short double-helical elements and three loops (D, anti-codon, and T loops). Further hydrogen bonds mediate the characteristic L-shaped molecular structure. tRNAs have two regions of fundamental functional importance: the anti-codon, which is responsible for specific mRNA codon recognition, and the 3' end, to which the tRNAs corresponding amino acid is attached (by aminoacyl-tRNA synthetases). tRNAs cope with the degeneracy of the genetic code in two manners: having more than one tRNA (with a specific anti-codon) for a particular amino acid; and 'wobble' base-pairing, i.e. permitting non-standard base-pairing at the 3rd anti-codon position.
Source: RNAcentral
GCCGGCAUAGCUCAGCAGGAAGAGCGGCUGCCUUGUAAACAGCAGGUCAUCGGUUCGAUUCCGAUUGUCGGCUCAA